Molecule: small RNA, 453 nt
Filed under: Rattus norvegicus (Norway rat)
Lineage: Eukaryota; Metazoa; Chordata; Mammalia; Rodentia; Muridae
Description: uncharacterized LOC108350370
Source: RNAcentral
AAGAGUUACAAGAAUGUCUCCAAAAAAAGUGUGUCUUCUAUGGACUCCCAAUCUUAGAAGAGGUGUAAACAACAACAGUGGCAGCAACCACCACCACUACCACCACCACAACAAAACAAGUGUUUGAGAAUAACAUCAAGAACCACUUCCAGAGUCCUGCCAGGUUGCCAGAGUCCUUCCAGGUUGGAGCUCCAAGGAGACAGGAAUGAAACAGCAACUCAAACAGACAGUGAUGGAGAAUUCCUGAUCGAGUUUACAUUUGUUUCACAUGCAGAAGACAAGCAUGCUUAAACCCUGGAUUCAGUAUGGAGAGCAUCUGCGUGGGAGGGUAAAUGCAUAUAUGUUUUUGUGUGUUUUGAUUAGCCCACUUUCAUUUUGGCAGAUAGGUAUACUUUUUAAAACUUGGAAAAAGUUUAUUUUUAAUUUGAGAGUAUGAAUUAUACUGAGUGCAGG